AUUGGAGGAAAGCAGGGGAUCGCAAGACCUUGCGCUAUUAGAUGAGCCUGCGUCCGAUUAGCUAGUUGGUGAGGUAACGGCUCACCAAGGCAACGAUCGGUAACUGGUUUGAGAGAACGACCAGUCACACUGGGACUGAGACACGGCCCAGACUCCUACGGGAGGCAGCAGUGGGGAAUUUUGGACAAUGGGGGAAACCCUGAUCCAGCCAUGCCGCGUGAGUGAAGAAGGCCUUCGGGUUGUAAAGCUCUUUCAGCCGGAACGAAAAGGUUACGGUUAAUACCCGUGACUAAUGACGGUACCGGAAGAAGAAGCACCGGCUAACUACGUGCCAGCAGCCGCGGUAAUACGUAGGGUGCGAGCGUUAAUCGGAAUUACUGGGCGUAAAGCGUGCGCAGGCGGUUUUGUAAGUCAGAUGUGAAAUCCCCGGGCUCAACCUGGGAACUGCGUUUGAAACUACAAGGCUAGAAU
Molecule: ribosomal RNA, 471 nt
Filed under: uncultured beta proteobacterium
Lineage: Bacteria; Pseudomonadati; Pseudomonadota; Betaproteobacteria
Description: bacterial SSU rRNA
Rfam family: Bacterial small subunit ribosomal RNA
Source: RNAcentral